GGAGGAGGCGCGAUUGUGGAUAUGGUGGUGAACGAAAAACAGAGGGAGUACGGGUAGAGGGUCGAAGGAAGAAGAUGAUUUCUUCUUUGUUUUUUUUAUCCCUUUAUUUUUUCAUUUUUUUUUAUUUUCUCUUCCUUCAUUCAUUUUCAUCCAGAGAGAGAAAAAAGAGGCUAGGUCCUCAUUGGAUUCUUUUUUCUUUCUUUUUAUUUUCUUUUGUGGUUUUUGAGAAAGAGAUUCAGGAGAUAACGUGUAUGUCUCGGUUGGUCUCCCCCUCCUUUUUUU
This 282-nucleotide long non-coding RNA is filed under the name Lathyrus oleraceus (garden pea). Its description in RNAcentral is "Pisum sativum (pea) long non-coding RNA (PSAT_LNC016960)". The record is from RNAcentral. Lineage: Eukaryota; Viridiplantae; Streptophyta; Magnoliopsida; Fabales; Fabaceae.